Molecule: long non-coding RNA, 617 nt
Organism: Acipenser ruthenus (sterlet)
Lineage: Eukaryota; Metazoa; Chordata; Actinopteri; Acipenseriformes; Acipenseridae
Exons: 4
Source: RefSeq, a predicted model, not a curated record
UUUUAAUUGGUAGUUGUUGGCUUAUCCUGAAUAAACUUCAAUGAGAGGUACUGCUAAGCUGUUUCGGUUAGUACAACGUCUCAGCGCUUUUUUUGCGGACAGGAGCACAGAAUACACCUAAUCCGGGUUUAAAAGUAUCAUAGCAAAUGAGAGAUGGACAGAGAUACUGAACAACAAGUGAGGAAGUGCGCACUUACAGAACUGCAGCACAAAACACGAGAGGAAGAUGAGCCUGAGCGGCCUGCAGAGACCCAGAAGCACUCCCCACACUCCUAUCAAGUGCCUAGGCCCCUUGCCGAGACAACAAGUCAGGGCACACAGGAGUGCAGGAAAAACAUGAUGUUGUAACUCAGGGGUCCCCAAACUUUCCCAACUCAUGACCCACCUGAGUAGCCAGAUCAUUUUCUGGGACCCAUGCCCAGUGAGACAGUGUGUGAAAAAACAUAGUCUAUAGUACAGUACCAACCAAAAAAUUGCAGCAAUAUAAAGUAAGAAUUAAGGUUUAAAAAUCACUUGCUUACACAAAAUGAUAGAUAGAAAAUUAUUAUAAUAGUAACUGCAAUAACUUGCUGUAUUUUAUCAAGUAAAACAGAAAGGCUACCAGCAGAAAUACAAAA